GACGAACGCUGGCGGCGUGCUUAACACAUGCAAGUCGAACGGCAGCACGGGGGCAACCCUGGGUGGCGAGUGGCGAACGGGUGAGUAAUACAUCGGAACGUGCCCUGUAGUGGGGGAUAGCUCGGCGAAAGCCGGAUUAAUACCGCAUACGACCUACGGGUGAAAGCGGGGGAUCGCAAGACCUCGCGCUACAGGAGCGGCCGACGUCAGAUUAGGUUGUUGGUGGGGUAAAGGCCUACCAAGCCGACGAUCUGUAGCUGGUCUGAGAGGACGACCAGCCACACUGGGGACUGAGACACGGUCCAGACUCCUACGGGAGGCAGCAGGU
RNAcentral lists this ribosomal RNA (328 nucleotides) under uncultured bacterium. Its description in RNAcentral is "bacterial SSU rRNA". It matches the Rfam family "Bacterial small subunit ribosomal RNA", at positions 28 to 355 of the family's 1533-position model. The record is from RNAcentral.